AUUGAACGCUGGCGGCAUGCCUUACACAUGCAAGUCGAGCGGUAACGGGCCUUCGGGUGCCGACGAGUGGCGAACGGGUGAGUAAUACAUCGGAACGUGCCCGAUCGUGGGGGAUAACGAGGCGAAAGCUUUGCUAAUACCGCAUACGAUCUGCGGAUGAAAGCAGGGGACCGCAAGGCCUUGCGCGGACGGAGCGGCCGAUGGCAGAUUAGGUAGUUGGUGGGAUAAAAGCUUACCAAGCCGACGAUCUGUAGCUGGUCUGAGAGGAUGAUCAGCCACACUGGGACUGAGACACGGCCCAGACUCCUACGGGAGGCAGCAGUGGGGAAUUUUGGACAAUGGGCGCAAGCCUGAUCCAGCCAUGCCGCGUGCAGGAUGAAGGCCUUCGGGUUGUAAACUGCUUUUGUACGGAACGAAAAGCCUUCUUUUAAUACAGGAGGGUCAUGACGGUACCGUAAGAAUAAGCACCGGCUAACUACGUG
Molecule: ribosomal RNA, 482 nt
Filed under: uncultured bacterium
Lineage: Bacteria
Description: partial 16S ribosomal RNA
Rfam family: Bacterial small subunit ribosomal RNA
Source: RNAcentral